CCUACGGGCGGCAGCAGUGAGGAAUAUUGGUCAAUGGGCGAGAGCCUGAACCAGCCAAGUCGCGUGAGGGAGUACUGCCCUAUGGGUUGUAAACCUCUUUUGUCGGGGAGCAAAAGCCGGACGUGUCCGGCUGUGAGAGUACCCGAAGAAAAAGCAUCGGCUAACUCCGGGCCAGCAGCCGCGGUAAUACGGAGGAUGCGAGCGUUAUCCGGAUUUAUUGGGGUUAAAGGGUGCGCAGGUGGAUUUUUAAGUCAGCGGUCAAAUCGUGGGGCUCAACCCCAUCCAGCCGUUGAAACUGGGGAUCUAGAGUGUGCGAGAGGUAUGCGGAAUGCGUGGUGUAGGAGUGAAAUCCGUAGAUAUCUGGAGGAACAUCAGUGGCGAAGGCGACUAGCUGGCACAUAACUGACGCUGAGGAGCGAAAGCGUGGGUAGCAAACAGGAUUAGAUACCCUGGUAGUC
RNAcentral lists this ribosomal RNA (458 nucleotides) under uncultured bacterium. Its description in RNAcentral is "partial 16S ribosomal RNA". It matches the Rfam family "Bacterial small subunit ribosomal RNA", at positions 338 to 795 of the family's 1533-position model. The record is from RNAcentral.